UAUGUGAUCGUCUCUCGCAUAUCAAUAAGCGGAGGAAAAGAAACUAACAAGGAUUCCCCUGAGUAACGGCGAGUGAAGCGGGAAGAGCUCAAAUUUGAAAUCUUAAAGGGUUUCCCUUUACGAAUUGUAGUUUAAAGAAGUGUUUUCUGUUGAGGUUUUGGUAAAAGUUCUUUGGAAUAGGACAUCAUAGAGGGUGAGAAUCCCGUAUUUGACCUUUACUUUCAACUUUGUGAUACACUUUCAAAGAGUCGGAUUGUUUGGGAAUGCAGUCCAAAAUGGGUGGUAAAUUUCAUCUAAAGCUAAAUAUUGGCGAGAGACCGAUAGCGAACAAGUACCGUGAGGGAAAGAUGAAAAGAACUUUGAAAAGAGAGUUAAACAGUACGUGAAAUUGUCAAAAGGGAAGCGUUUGACACCAGUGUUGUUUUUCUGAAAAUCAAUUAAAGAACUGUUUAUGCUAAGCUGUUUAGACUUUAUCAGCUAACUGUUUAGUUUUGAGCUUUUCUUUAAUGCACUUUUCAGUUAACAAGUCAACAUCAAUUUCUUUUGCUGUAAAAAGCUUGAGGAAGGUGGCUUGAGAUUCGUCUUAAGUGCUUAUAGCCUCUUGCCUAUGCAGUCGGAGAGAUUGAGGUCUGCAGCGUAGAUCCUUCGGGGCUAAAUGCAUUUGUGCUAAGUUAUAGCAUUUUAUAGACAACUUGUUGACUAUGAUUUGUCUUGUAGCUUACUCGCUUAUGUUAUUUUACCUACGCUUAGGAUGUUGAGUAGCGACAUACGCAC
RNAcentral lists this ribosomal RNA (774 nucleotides) under uncultured Neocallimastigales. RNAcentral's name for it is "partial large subunit ribosomal RNA". It matches the Rfam family "Eukaryotic large subunit ribosomal RNA", at positions 24 to 649 of the family's 3401-position model. The record is from RNAcentral. Lineage: Eukaryota; Fungi; Neocallimastigomycota; Neocallimastigomycetes; Neocallimastigales.